AGCCAGCAAGUUCAUCUCGUCCCAGGAUGCAAAGCGCGGUGGCUCUGGCUGUGCAGGGCGCCCUUGCGCGCUCAAAAGCCCCGCAGUAGCCGCGCAUAGCACCAGGGCAGCGCCUGCUGUCGGAGCGCAGCGCAUGAUUCUGGGGGUGGCCUUGGGUGCAGCAACGCUAGGACUCCGGAACGCAGGAGUUCAAGACCCAGCAGCU
RNAcentral lists this ribosomal RNA (205 nucleotides) under uncultured bacterium. RNAcentral's name for it is "partial 16S ribosomal RNA". The record is from RNAcentral.